GCUCCCUUCAGCAGCACUAUACUAAAAUUGGAACAAUACAGAGGAGAUUAGCAUGGC
RNAcentral lists this small nuclear RNA (57 nucleotides) under Gorilla gorilla gorilla (western lowland gorilla). The record is from RNAcentral. Lineage: Eukaryota; Metazoa; Chordata; Mammalia; Primates; Hominidae.